RNAcentral lists this ribosomal RNA (253 nucleotides) under uncultured bacterium. RNAcentral's name for it is "partial 16S ribosomal RNA". It matches the Rfam family "Bacterial small subunit ribosomal RNA", at positions 524 to 776 of the family's 1533-position model. The record is from RNAcentral.
UACGUAGGCAGCAAGCGUUGUUCGGAAUUACUGGGCGUAAAGAGUGUGUAGGCGGUGCUCUAAGUUCGGUGUGAAAUCUCCCGGCUUAACUGGGAGGGUGCGCCGGAAACUGGAGUGCUCGAGCGUGGGAGAGGAAAGCGGAAUUCCUGGUGUAGCGGUGAAAUGCGUAGAUAUCAGGAGGAACACCUGCGGUGUAGACGGCUUUCUGGACCAUUGCUGACGCUGAGGCGCGAAAGCGUGGGUAGCAAACGGG